Thamnophis elegans (Western terrestrial garter snake) is the source of this 2241-nucleotide long non-coding RNA. RefSeq lists it as uncharacterized. Lineage: Eukaryota; Metazoa; Chordata; Lepidosauria; Squamata; Natricidae. The transcript is spliced from 3 exons. The record is from RefSeq and is a predicted model, not a curated record.
GCUUCAAUAGAAAUAUUUUGAAUUAAUUUUCACUGUUAAAUACUCAAAGUCGAGCACAUGUGAAAUAUUUCUUCUCUUUUAUAUGAAGCUCACUUAACAUUCUUUCAAAACGUCCUGAAGGAGAAAUGCGAGAGACUACUCAAAAGUGUUUGGAGGAACACCAAAAUGAUAGUAGAAAUUCAGCAGAUGAAGAUGAGGGUGCUCUAAAUUCUAAUGAAGAAAAUGCCACAAUUACUAUCUAUUGUUUAGUCAAUCCUGAAGACUCCAGUAAAAAUGACUGCCUGCCUUCACAAUAACUUGGCUCAUAGUAUACAGAGAACCUAUGGAGAUACCUGUUAGAUUAUGUAGAUAUGGUUACCAUUUUGUAUUAGCUUCUUUCCCCAUUUUAUUUUAUAACUUAAUCUCAUCCCAUACUUAUUGUACUGGAAUGAAAUUUGCUAAGAUUUACUAGUAUGCUUAGAAAUCUGGGGGUAAUGGCAGAAUAUGUAGCCAUCAUGUGUUACAAUGUCAUUGUGCAAAUAAUGUAACUUUCUUAAUUGCAACAUUCUUCAAAAUGAGAAUGUUGCAAAUUAUACAAUCAAAUCAUGUGUGUGACAAUUUCAUGAUGCACUGAGACAAUGUCAUGAUGCACUAGACGGACAACCAAUUUGCAUCAAAGAUUCAAAUGAUCACCAGGUGGUACAAAUUCAGUCCCAGAAAUUACAGAUAUUGUAGAUCAGCAUUUGUUAAACACCAUCUUAGUUUUAUUGAAUAGCACUUGGAUAUUUGAUAUAGGCUGUUCCACUGUAGCAACUGACAGUACUGGAGCUGGUUAUAACUACCCUGGUGUUCCCAGGGCUAAAGUUACUCUUUUUCUUUUCUUAAAUUAUUGUGUUGCCUCAUGAGUAAGAUGAUCCAUUUAUCUUGCUCAUUCAAAAUGAAAGAUUAAUACUUUGAAAAGUAUUUGUUGAAUAAAAAUCCUGGUUCUAUAUAUGAUACAACCAUCUCCCACUUUUGAUACUUCACACUAGGUUUAAUCUUAAAUAUGGGGCCUACCAAGUUGGUUCUGUGAAUGAUAGCUGUGAUGGUUGUAUUUUACCAUUUAGAUAUUUUUUUUUACCCCUUGAAGUGCUUGUAAUUCUACAGAUAUUUAAUAAUUGACCCUCAGUUUAAUUUUCACAGUGAGAAUUUGCUGUGCUAGAAGCUCUUUUGGAUAUAACAUCCUGUAGCUAUUUUAUAUACAAGUGUUCUUUAUGUUCUUGACCAGCUCGAUACUUUUAGAAGAUUUUAGAUUCAUAAUUAAAAUUACCUUUUGCCUAAUUUCCAUCUUUUAGUAUGAUUAGAAACAGUAAAUCUGUCUACAUGUUAGAGAGUAAAUAUAGCUAUCAAGCUCUGCUGUAAUACAUUUGCCUAUGUGCAAAUGUGUAUUAAAAUAAAAUUAUUAAAUACACAUAUUUAAUAUGUGUAUUUAAUGGUAAAGUACUAGUACAAGCCAUAAAACCUCAGAUCACUAAUACUAGCACUUCUGUGGAAAUAUGUAAAUUCCACCUAGCUUAAACUCACUUGGAAUUUAGUAAUGAUGGCAAACAUUAAAUAGUAAUAAAAAUGAUAAUUGUUUUUUUAUAUAUUUUGAGGUUUCUAAGAGAUGUCUAACACUGCAUGCAUGUCUCUCUCUCCUCCCCCUCCCUCCCUCCCCUCCCCCCUCUCAAAAUUUCUCAAAUUGCUGCUACAAUAAUAGUUCAUUUUCUGGCAAUGAAGUUUCAAAGAGUAACAGCAGUUAUUGAAAUAUGAAUUGAAGUCCUAGCCCUCAUUUAAAAUGAUAAGAACUCAUAAUUAGUAUACAACUACCAUAAAUCAGCUGCCAAGCAAUAAGUCAACAUUUUUCUUUUCAAGUUGUUGUGUAAAUGAAAUGGCAAAUCUAAAGAGCUAAACUAAAUAGUUCAGGAAGAUUAGAGUGGCACUUUAGUCAAAUGCAGCCUUCGGCAGAAUUCUUCUGAUAAUAUUUCAUGGCAAAGAGUCAAAUAAUUCUGCAACUAUAGUUAUGCAAUCCAAGGGACUUUGGCCUUUUGUGUGUGGUAAAUAGUAUAGGCUAUAUGUCAUAACCCUAAAAACUGAAAGGAGUUUAACAAGCAAUUCAGAUAUGUAAUCAACAGAUAGUUCCACCCUCUUGAACUUUUGUCUCCUAGAAUUUUAUAAAUUACUACAGUACUAAUCUUUAUUAUGGUUGGUUGCACAAUCAGACAGAUGUUUAAACUGGAUUGA